This 718-nucleotide ribosomal RNA is filed under the name uncultured bacterium. RNAcentral's name for it is "bacterial SSU rRNA". It matches the Rfam family "Bacterial small subunit ribosomal RNA", at positions 28 to 740 of the family's 1533-position model. The record is from RNAcentral.
AUUGAACGGCGGCGGCAUGCCUUACACAUGCAAGUCGAACGGCAGCACGGGUGCUUGCACCUGGUGGCGAGUGGCGAACGGGUGAGUAAUACAUCGGAACGUACCUUAUCGUGGGGGAUAACGCAGCGAAAGUUGCGCUAAUACCGCAUACGCCCUGAGGGGGAAAGCGGGGGACCGUAAGGCCUCGCGCGAUUAGAGCGGCCGAUGUCUGAUUAGCUUGUUGGUGAGGUAAAAGCUCACCAAGGCGAUGAUCAGUAGCUGGUCUGAGAGGACGAUCAGCCACACUGGGACUGAGACACGGCCCAGACUCCUACGGGAGGCAGCAGUGGGGAAUUUUGGACAAUGGGGGCAACCCUGAUCCAGCAAUGCCGCGUGAGUGAAGAAGGCCUUCGGGUUGUAAAGCUCUUUUGUCAGGGAAGAAACAGCAGCUCUAACACAGACUGCGAAUGACGGUACCUGAAGAAUAAGCACCGGCUAACUACGUGCCAGCAGCCGCGGUAAUACGUAGGGUGCGAGCGUUAAUCGGAAUUACUGGGCGUAAAGCGUGCGCAGGCGGUUAUACAAGACAGGCGUGAAAUCCCCGGGCUUAACCUGGGAAUGGCGUCUGUGACUGUAUAGCUAGAGUGUGUCAGAGGGGGGUGGAAUUCCACGUGUAGCAGUGAAAUGCGUAGAUAUGUGGAGGAACACCAAUGGCGAAGGCAGCCCCCUGGGAUAACAC